This 561-nucleotide ribosomal RNA is filed under the name Staphylococcus aureus. RNAcentral describes it as "partial 23S ribosomal RNA". It matches the Rfam family "Bacterial large subunit ribosomal RNA", at positions 1603 to 2165 of the family's 2925-position model. The record is from RNAcentral. Lineage: Bacteria; Bacillati; Bacillota; Bacilli; Caryophanales; Staphylococcaceae.
CACUGCCGAGAAAAGCCUCUAGAUAGAAAAUAGGUGCCCGUACCGCAAACCGACACAGGUAGUCAAGAUGAGAAUUCUAAGGUGAGCGAGCGAACUCUCGUUAAGGAACUCGGCAAAAUGACCCCGUAACUUCGGGAGAAGGGGUGCUCUUUAGGGUUAACGCCCAGAAGAGCCGCAGUGAAUAGGCCCAAGCGACUGUUUAUCAAAAACACAGGUCUCUGCUAAACCGUAAGGUGAUGUAUAGGGGCUGACGCCUGCCCGGUGCUGGAAGGUUAAGAGGAGUGGUUAGCUUCUGCGAAGCUACGAAUCGAAGCCCCAGUAAACGGCGGCCGUAACUAUAACGGUCCUAAGGUAGCGAAAUUCCUUGUCGGGUAAGUUCCGACCCGCACGAAAGGCGUAACGAUUUGGGCACUGUCUCAACGAGAGACUCGGUGAAAUCAUAGUACCUGUGAAGAUGCAGGUUACCCGCGACAGGACGGAAAGACCCCGUGGAGCUUUACUGUAGCCUGAUAUUGAAAUUCGGCACAGCUUGUACAGGAUAGGUAGGAGCCUUUGAAACGU